GACGAACGCUGGCGGCGUGCUUAACACAUGCAAGUCGAACGAUGAUCAGGAGCUUGCUCCUGUGAUUAGUGGCGAACGGGUGAGUAACACGUGAGUAACCUGCCCCUGACUCUGGGAUAAGCGUUGGAAACGACGUCUAAUACUGGAUACGACUGCCGGCCGCAUGGUCUGGUGGUGGAAAGAUUUUUUGGUUGGGGAUGGACUCGCGGCCUAUCAGCUUGUUGGUGAGGUAAUGGCUCACCGAGGCGACGACGGGUAGCCGGCCUGAGAGGGUGACCGGCCACACUGGGACUGAGACACGGCCCAGACUCCUACGGGAGGCAGCAGUGGGGAAUAUUGCACAAUGGGCGAAAGCCUGAUGCAGCAACGCCGCGUGAGGGAUGACGGCCUUCGGGUUGUAAACCUCUUUUAGUAGGGAAGAAGCGAAAGUGACGGUACCUGCAGAAAAAGCACCGGCUAACUACGUGCCAGCCGCCGCUGUAA
Molecule: ribosomal RNA, 483 nt
Filed under: uncultured bacterium
Lineage: Bacteria
Description: partial 16S ribosomal RNA
Rfam family: Bacterial small subunit ribosomal RNA
Source: RNAcentral